GCGUAACGCGUAAGUAACUUGCCCCAAGGUAAGGAAUAACGUCGAGAAAUCGGCGCUAAUACCUCAUAAUGCAGCGGAUCCGCAUGGAUAUGUUGUUAAAGGUUUACCGCCUUGGGAUAGGCCUGCGUCUGAUUAGCUAGUUGGUGUGGUAAUGGCACACCAAGGCUACGAUCAGUAACUGGUCUGAGAGGAUGAUCAGUCACACUGGAACUGAGACACGGUCCAGACUCCUACGGGAGGCAGCAGUGAGGAAUAUUGGGCAAUGCACGAAAGUGUGACCCCAGCAACGCCGCGUGGAGGAUGAAGGUAUUCUAUAUCGUAAACUCCUGUGAGAGCAGACGAAAGACAGAUUAUUAAUUUGGAUGACUGUAUGCUCAGAGGAAGCCCCGGACUAACUACGUG
Molecule: ribosomal RNA, 402 nt
Filed under: uncultured bacterium
Lineage: Bacteria
Description: bacterial SSU rRNA
Rfam family: Bacterial small subunit ribosomal RNA
Source: RNAcentral